CGCAGGGGAGACGGAGCUAGCAGUUUAGGGAUGAGAGCGGGCAGGUGGGCCGGAGUGAGGCCUUGUUCCUGUGAGCGUCGUGGGUGCUCGACUGGGGCUCCGUGAGCCAAUUACUUCUGCGUGUUCUAGAGCUUGGUGGAAAGGGAGCUGUGCUGCCUGCACGCCUCCGUGACCGACUUCUUUCGCACAGCACGCUGCAUUCGUGCACGCCGCCACGUCUAACGGGGCAAUUAAAAAAAUCUCAGGGCUUGGCAAGAUCAGAUGGGUGUGUGCAGAUUUUCCCCUCAAGGUUGGCAUCCUAGACGACCUUCGAUUUGUGGAGGCACUUACUGAAUGACAAUCAGGGACACGAUGAUAAAUUGAGACGGAUGUCGGAUGCCCCAAAGAGCAGGUGAUCGCAGGAAUGAAUGCAACAUAAAGAUAAGUAUUGUUCAAUCCUGCCAAAUGUGGGGGUGCGUAGGCUGGGCAACCUUUCCAGUGUUGUCCAACCUGGCGAGUGGAGGCGGGAGGUGUGGGGGACCGGCCUGCUGCGGGAAGGGAGUUCUGGGCACAGGUUCAUAGCGCGUCCCAGUGCAAGAGGCGGGACACGGGGCUUUCCGACACCCUUCUCACGCGUGGGUGGGCUUGGCCUCUAAUUGGUGGGCUUCUCCCUGUGCCCGAACUCCUGGGCCCGUCCCUCCGAUCGAACGCCAAUCCUGAUCAGAUUCUCCCCGGGAUUAAAGAUUAACCCCCAUGUUUGGCCUUUGCAGGAGGCUUAUAUAACCUUCUAGGUCAGUUGUCACACUUUUCCGGACGGGGUCUCAGAGGGGAGACGCGAUGUGGUGUCCCGGCUAAGCAUACUGUGCCGAGCUGGGGGGGGGGGUGGGGCGCUGAGGUCCCGGGGCACUCAGGCCAGAAAGCCACCGGGCACGAAAGGGGAGAGUAAGUUAAGGACUGAUGAGACCCGAGGCUGGUGUCCCAAGUUGGCCGAGAGCAGCCUCACUUAUUUGGGGUCCGCGGCACGUGCUGGAUUGCGGGGCUCAUUCCGCAGAUGUGUCUGGAGCCGCCUUGAUGGUGGGGGGCCAUCGGUGGCCGACACAGACAGGAGCCCGUUUCCUGGUGGGAACAGAGGGAAUGGACAGGUGAUCAGAGCCCCCCCACCCCCGCCCCCCGCCAGGUGCUCUGCUAGGGUGGCUGGGAUGCUCAGGAUGGUCCCUGAGGGAGGUGACCCUCGGGCAGAGGCCACCAGGCAUGGGUUUGGGAACAGCUUUGAGAAGGCCUUGUGGGUUGAAGGACGUGUCCUCCCCAA
Neofelis nebulosa (Clouded leopard) is the source of this 1288-nucleotide long non-coding RNA. RefSeq lists it as uncharacterized. NCBI's taxonomy places the organism in Eukaryota, Metazoa, Chordata, Mammalia, Carnivora, Felidae. The record is from RefSeq and is a predicted model, not a curated record. The transcript is spliced from 4 exons.